AACCCUACUCAACUCUAAACUGCCAACUUUCAAUACCUUUUUGUAUCAAAACCUAGAUACCUCUCAACUGGAAUAUUAGAUUAUCACAAAUUUUUAUAUACACUUAGUUCAUCUAAUUAAUCAAGUAUAAUCAAAUUUAGAAUUAUGGAUGUAAUACCAAUUUUACAAACUAGCCGAGAGUGCUAGCCCUAAUUAUAUUAUAUAAAUUCCAAGUUGCCAAUACAA
RNAcentral lists this long non-coding RNA (225 nucleotides) under Physcomitrium patens. Its description in RNAcentral is "long non-coding RNA (PPAT_LNC009058)". The record is from RNAcentral. Lineage: Eukaryota; Viridiplantae; Streptophyta; Bryopsida; Funariales; Funariaceae.